UUCUUGUGUGAAUCCCUUGAACUUUUCAAGAGUUUCAUGUUUGAGCUUUCAUCAAGUGUACAUGAUCAUUGAUGAAAUAAGAGAAACAUUAUCUGACAUAAAUUGAUACGAAUCCAUAUGCAUCACCAUGCAUUAGACCAGUAAUUAUGCUGAUCUUUCUUCUUUUCAAAUAAAAGAAGAUUUGGUCAAUGUGCCAAACAUGCAUAAUUUGUUUUUGUCAAAAUCAAUUAAUCCCAAGUAUACAUCUUUAUGUAACUUUGGAAUUACAUUUCAUCUAAAUGAUAAAGUCUGUCAUGCCAGAUUUUGGUAAUACUUAGAUUAUAGUAUUUAUGUCUUAUAAUUUCUAUACUUAUUAUAGAAUCUUUAGUAUUAAAGAAUAUAAAUGUCGUUUUAUAAUUUACCAUAGCCAUUAGGAUCUUUAACAAGAUAAACAAGAACAACAAUUGUCCUU
Molecule: long non-coding RNA, 451 nt
Filed under: Olea europaea (common olive)
Lineage: Eukaryota; Viridiplantae; Streptophyta; Magnoliopsida; Lamiales; Oleaceae
Description: long non-coding RNA (OEUR_LNC009223)
Source: RNAcentral